GCCAGCAGCCGCGGUAAUACGGAGGGUGCGAGCGUUGUUCGGAAUUAUUGGGCGUAAAGAGCGUGUAGGCGGCCUGACAAGUCAGAUGUGAAAGCCCUGGGCUCAACCCAGGAAGUGCAUUUGAAACUGUCGGGCUUGAGUACGGGAGGGGGAAGCGGAAUUCCUGGUGUAGAGGUGAAAUCCGUAGAUAUUAGGAGGAACACCGGUGGCGAAGGCGGCUACCUGGACCGAUAUUGACGCUGAGACGCGAAAGCGUGGGGAGCAAACAGGAUUAGAUACCCUGGUAGUCCACGCCGUAAACGUUGGGCACUAGGUGUUGCGGGUA
RNAcentral lists this ribosomal RNA (325 nucleotides) under uncultured Geobacter sp. RNAcentral describes it as "bacterial SSU rRNA". It matches the Rfam family "Bacterial small subunit ribosomal RNA", at positions 507 to 831 of the family's 1533-position model. The record is from RNAcentral. Lineage: Bacteria; Pseudomonadati; Thermodesulfobacteriota; Desulfuromonadia; Geobacterales; Geobacteraceae.